This 21826-nucleotide long non-coding RNA is filed under the name Homo sapiens (human). RNAcentral describes it as "non-protein coding lnc-BRF2-7:3". The record is from RNAcentral. Lineage: Eukaryota; Metazoa; Chordata; Mammalia; Primates; Hominidae.
AAAUGGAGAACAGCUGCUCACGCUCGUCGUCUGACAUCAGCUAUUUCUCAGGAUGACCCUGCGAGACAGGCCAGGGUCAUUAGACCCAAUUUGGUUCUCAGCAAAUAUGUGUUUAUUCCUGCAUGCGUGGGCCACAGGCUGGUUUCUUGGGUGCAAUGAAUAGCUGCAGGUUUAUUAGGGUGUCUUUUUAGAUGGAUGUAUGUUUCCCGAUGUCUAUAGAACACUCCGGACCCCGGAGAGUGAAGACUCUGCCUGUCGGACUUGCUUUGAGAAGAUCCUUCUCCACCUCCCCAUGGCAGAAGUUGCUUCACAGAGGGGAACAGUUUUAUGGAUGUGGCUGAGACCUUAAACUUGAGGCAACCCAUCUGAGGUGGCAUCCAGAGGAGACUGGCUGGCCCCUCCUUCACCUUGGAUGUAGUGCUGUUUCUAGGAUCUCUUUUCAAUCAGCAAAACAGGGGAUGUUCCAAGAGGGUGUGGAUUCCCUGCCAUCCCACAUGGUCAAGUGGAGGGGACGGGAAAAAGCUAUGAAGGGUUUGUGACCACACAGACUCUCCUGGCCCCCUGUCCUUUUGGAAAGAAGACAGGGAUGAAAUAUAAUCAAGCAAUUAACCACCCCCAUCAUCACCAAGAACAACAGUAUCAACAAGAAGAACAGGGACAACAAAACCCACGGAUGAAACAUUCCUUUCUCAGCUCAGAUCUUAUCUGGUGCGUUCUCUCUCUGCUCUGUCUUGGUGUGUGGUUUAGAGAAACAUGGACAACGCUGUUUGGAAGAACAGGGUCGAGCUGUUCCUGAUGUUUAUCGGAGACUGGGAUCAAAGCUAUCCAGGUCAUAAAUCUCUCUCUGUGGCUGUUGGGCCCCAGGGCAGCUGAAGAGGGUUGACAGCCCUUUGGACCUCAAAGGAAAAAAUGUGCUCUACUCCACCCACUCCCAGCUCUGCCAAGAAGCUGUCCUCUGAGAAGCCAUGGCUGGGCCGUUCCAUUCUGGGGAGCUGCUGAAAAGAGCUGGGAGGCCGAGAAGAACUUGCGUGUGCUGGGGGAGAGGAAGCCUGGCCUUGAGGGAGGGGUGCAGGUGUGGCUCCUCUGUGUGUGGGGGCUGGGGGACCUUGUGUGCCUUUUCCUUGUGGCUGUGAAAUGCUUUAUGAGUACUUCCAUAGGAGGAUGGACAGGGAGUCGGGGAGAUAAACUCAGCCACAAGGCCCCAGGGCCUCAGGAAACUUGCACCCAACCCUCUCAUUUUACAGAAGAAAACUGUGCCUGGAAGGUUGAAGGGUUUGUUCCCAGUCACACAACCAGGGAUCCUUAGGACAGCCAGACCAGGAAACCAUUUCCAAACUGCCAAGCCAUGGCAGAGUAUCAAGACCUCAGGAACCAUCGAGACACCAUGGAAGCAUUGGGAAAAGCCUCCUUAGCUUUUGAAGCUCCUCAUUGUUCUUGAGUGUGCAUGGAGCCCAUGACUGCGGGGUUUUGUAGACACCUCAGGGAUUACAUGACUGGUACCCCUGACAAAGUCAAGGCUGCUGGACAAAAUGAGUCCGAGGAUUUCAGGGGCAGCUGGGCGCAGGAGCUGGUGGGCUGUUGGGAGUGCCCCUUUACUGGGCAGGCUUCCUUCCUCCUGGUGAUGGGGGGUUCCUCAGCACAAAAGUGAAGGGGUGGAGGGGCUGGAGGAGCAGGAAUCUCUCUUGUUGAUAGGUAUGAGGCCUUGAAGUCCUUUUCUUUGUCCCAGGAUUCAUGGACGCUUCGGGGCUGAUCUUUGAGUUUUCAAGCAUGGGGUGCAGAGACGUUUAGGUAAACUCUUACCGUCCUCUCUCUUCGUCAGGGCUUCCCAGGAAUCAACAAUGCCCAAGAAGGAAGGGAUUGUAGAAAUAGCUUAACCCUUUCAUUUACCAACGUGGAAAUUGAAGCCCAGGGAAGGGAAGGGACCGGUCGUGGAAGGGAGAGCCAUCAGCAGAAAGAGACCCUGAGAUCUUCGCCUGGGAUUCCCAGGAAGUCCAGCCCGAGCUGAUUCACAGAACAAAUGCAUGCAAACCUUGCUAUCAAUAAAUUACACAUGCACUUACGUAAAACACAUAAAAAUAUAUGGCCUUGGUUUUGGAACAAUACCCCACAGAUAAAAGUAGCUUUAAAUCCUCCAUAAAAUGAUAAAGUCUAGUCCUAAACUCCUAGCAGUUCUGCGGGUGAUCACAGGCGGCAGGAGCCGCUCAAACUUUAAUGGCUUGGUAUCUCCACAUGUAGACAGGAGGCAGAAAACCAUCGGGGAUGAAGUCGUGGGCUCUAGAAUUGCAAAGACGUGGGUUCCAGGCCAGGCUUGGCCCUUGCUAACUGUUGACCUUGAGCAAAUUACCCAACCUGUUCCUUAUUUGUUUCUGCCUCAUAGGUAGUUGUGCAGAUGAAAUGAUAUCAGUUCUCAGAACAGUGCUGGGGACAGAGUACACUCUAUGCUCAAUACAUAUUCACUUUUAGAGAUAUCUUGGGAUUCUCAGUCUAAGUGACAUUCAAAAGUACCUCACUGGGAGGCAAGACCAAGGUGGAGCCUCCUCUUGGAUGGGAUGUGGGCCUAUUUUAUUUUACUUCUUUAUUUUUGUAGGUGCAUGCCACCACACUUGCUAAUUAAUUUUUUUUUUUUUUUUUUGUAGAGAUGGGGUCUCACUAUGUUGCUCAGGCUGGUCUUAAACUCCUGGCCUCAAGCAAUCCUCCUGCCUCAGCCUCCCACAGUGCUGGGAUUACAGGCAUGAACCACUGAGCCCGGCACCUCUAUUUUAAAUCUAUUUUAUCUUUUGAGAUAUAGUCUUGCUCUGUCACCCAGGCUGGAGUGCAGUGGCGCGAUCUCAGCUCCCUGUAACCUCUGCCUCUCGGGUUCAAGCAAUUCUUCUGCCUCAACCUCCCAAGUAGCUGGGACUACAGGCGCCCGCCACCACGCCUGUCUAAUUUUUUGUAUUUUUAGUAGAGACAGGGUUUCACCAUGUUAGCCAGGAUGGUCUUGAACUCCUGACCUCGUGAUCUGCCUGCCUCGGCCUCCCAAAGUGCUGGGAUUACAGGCGUAAGCCACUGCACCCGGCUAUUUUAAAUCUACAGACAAAUCACCCAUGAAGUGCAGUGGGGGAAUAGAGGGCUGGGCUCAGUUAAUUCAGAAGAAGAUUUAUCCCAGGAUCAGGAAAUGAGAGUUUCAGAUGUUGCCAGUAGCUUAAGUGGCUUUUAGGGCCUUUUUUCUGUCUGGCCAGGGCUCAUCCUGGGCUGAGCUUUAAGGCCUGUUAGGGGCUGAAUUCUGUCCCCCUCAAAGUUUAUAUGUUGAACUCAUAACCCCAGUACCUUAGACUGUGACUGUAUUUGGAGAUAGGGUCUCUAAAGAGGUAAUUAGGUUAAAAUGAGGUCACUAGGGUGGGCCCUAGUCCAAUAGAAAUGUGUCCUUGUUGGAUAAGGGGCAACGUGGACACAGACACGUGCAGAGGGGAGCCCCUGUGAAGAAGCGGGGAGAAGACAGUCACCUGCAAGCCACAGACGGGGCCUGUGAAGGAACCAAUCCUGUCAAUACCUUGGUCUUGGUCUUGGCCUUCCAGCCUCCAAAACCCAGAGGCCAUCAAUUUCUGGUGAGGCAGCCCUAGCCGCCUUUCUAAGCGUUCAUACUCCUGGUUUGGCAGAGGGGAAGGGACCACGGCCAGCGCUUCUUAAACCUUCGUGUGUGUGAAACUCACUUCCUGGGGAGCUGGAUCAAGAUGCAGAUUCUAUGACCAUCUAGUUUCCCCUUUCUCAUCCCUUAUCUAAUUUGCUCCUCUGUGGAACUGUGUGAAGUAGACAGGGCAAGAAUUUUCAUCCCCAUUUUCCAGAUUAAGAAACUGAGUCUCAGAUGGAAGAAUCACAGCAAGUGAGAGGCAGUCAAGCCUCCAACUCAGGUCAAGUGAGGCGUCCUCACAUCCCAUGCCCCCCGUAAUUUCCCGAUCCCUAGCAGGGGCACCUGGGGAGACUCCCUGGUGAUGCUGUGUCAGGACUCCCUUCUUUAUUUUGAGACAGAGUUUCACUCUUGUCACCCAGGCUGGAGUGCAGUGGUGUGAUCUCAGCUCAUUGCAACCUCCACCUCCCAGGUUCAAGCAAUUCUCCUGCCUCAGCCUCCCAAGUAGCUGGGAUUAUAGGUGUGAGCCACCGUGCCUGGCAGGGCUCCCUUUUUGACAGACACUGUCUUAGACCUCAGGCUCCCUCAGGCCUUCGCUCUUGGGGGUUGGAGCUGAGGGGAGGAUGGAAAGUGUCCCUCCCCAUCACAGCGCAGCUAGCUGGUGAGAGGGGCUGGGAGCUCCCGGAUCUGUCUGGACAUGCAGCCACUCCUGGCAGUCCCCACCCCUCCUUCCACCCAGCCCCUCUGCCUUCCAGCAAGUGAAUGAAGUCAGGCAGGCCCUGGGCCAUCCCGGGUGAAGGAGGGAGUGGGCAUGGCUUGGCACUCCAAGGGCUCGCCAUUGGGAGGGGCGUGGAGACGGUGUGAACUCCUUGGUGUCUUGCUCUUGUCAUCUUCCAGCAUGACAUAUGCACAAAGGUACCUUUUAUAGGUGGGAAAUUAUAGGUGCUGCCACUUCAAAGGCCUUGGCAACCAGAGCUCCUCUUUGAUAGAUGACAGUAUUAUUAAUGGUGAUUUAUUGCUGGGGCCAUUUUGACAACAGAAAUAACCAGUUUCCCCACCUUUUCGGCUCUCUUCUCCCACACCUUCCUGGGGAUUUUUUUUUAUUUUGGCUGGCCCUGUGUGUUUUUCUGGCUGCAGGGGUUACCUCCCUGCACGAGGAGGCAUGGGAGGUAACCCAUGGAGCAUCUGCUUAAGGCACAUAGUGAGGCAUCUGGCUUAUUAACUUGUCAUCAUGUGUCAUAAAGUUUAGUGAAAUGCUGGCAGAUUGUAAUCCUAAACAGGGCAAUUACCCUCUUAUUAAAGCAGUACUUUUUCUGUCUGUCUGUCUGUCUCUCUCUUAUUUUUCUCUCUCUCCCUGCCUCCACCCCCUUUCCUGGGAUUGUUGUUACCUCUGCCCUACUUGCACAAUUAGUCAUGAGCGGAGGUCACCUGCUUCAUAAUGAUCCCAGAGUAGGCCUGGCCUUGGCGGGGCAGAGCUGAAGGGGAAGGGGCAAAGGAGAGCUAACCAUGGUGAGGCUUGCUGCAGCAAGCUGGCCUCACGGGGCAUGGGGACAAGGCGCUGUCCCAGGCGGGAGGCUGCAGUAAGAAGGUUGUGGUCUGAGGUUUCUGGCUGCAGGCAGCGAGAAGGAGAGAGGAGAGAGAGCUGACAGGAGCGACUGAGCCUCUGUGGACUUCGCCGCUCACCCAGAUUUUCCGGCAGAGAUGCCUCCCUCUGCCUUUUUCUCCCUCACUUUCGUAUCUCGAAACACAGGUGGAAAAUAAGAAAGGAAGUGGCAGUGGGUGAUGGGGGCCUGGGACAUGAGGACUCCUCACUUGAUCUGAAUUGGAGGCUUGGCUGCCACUCACUUGCUAUGAUUCUUCCAUCUGAGACUCAAUUUCUAAAUCUGUGAAAUGGGGGUGAAACAUCUUGCCCUGUCUGCUUCCCACAGUUUUAGGGAAGAUCAAAUUAGAAAAGGGAUAGGAAAGGGGAUGGCUCAUGGUAACUCACUCCACAAAUCUGAGGGAUGAUUGUAAUUUCAUAUGUGUGACCACAGGGUCUUAUGUCAUGUCUAACGGAGCUCUACCCCCGUGAUUCCAAAGGAUCGUUGACUAUAUUGAAAUUUGGUCUUCUGUCUCUUUCUGUAUUCCUCAGGGUUUUGAUGACCUUGGUUUCUAAAUCUGCCUGGGAGGCAUUGUUUGACUCUGGUCUGAACAACAGGAGUUUUCGGCACAGGUGUGAUCAUGUUACCUGCACAGUGCGAGGUUAAGAAGACAAAUGGGGGUAGGCUAGAGGCAACAGCCAAAUCACAAUUUGCCAGAUCUGAAAAGACCUUAGAGAUUACCUAGCUGAAUUGUCCCCUGCUGUAGAUUUGUAAAUCGAGGCUCGAAGAGGUAGAAUAACUUUCCUAAAAAUCAUCAGAUAAAUGACAGGCAGAGUGGAGACUAGAUCUCCCAUCGCCAGACUUGGCCCAGUGCUCUGUCCACCAAAGCAUGUUGACUGCAUCAACUCUGGGUGCACCUUCUCCUCCUUUAUCAUCAGUCAGCGUUCAGGAAAGCACUGCUAGCAGUCAUUUACACCUUAGCAUGAAUUUAAGCCAACAUUUAGUUCUCCCAGGUGCAUUUGCUUUUUUUUUUUUUGAGAUGGAGUUUUGCUCUUGUCGCCCAGGCUAGAGUAUAAUGGUGUGAUCUCAGCUCAUUGCAACCUCCACCUCCCGGGUUCAAGCGAUUCUCCUGCCUCAGCCUCCUGAGUAGCUGGGAUUACAGGCACCUGCCACCACGCCUGGCUAAUUUUUGUAUUUUUAGUAGAGACGGGGUUUUGCCAUGUUGGUCAGGCUGGUGUCAAACUCCUGACCUUAGGUGAUCUGCCCACCUCGGCCUCCCAAAGUGCUGGGAUUACAGGCGUGAGCCACUGUGCCCAGCCGCAUUUGCUUUUGAGGUCUCAUCCCAUUGUAUAGAUUGUUCCCUGUCAAUGGCAUUUCCAGCACUGGUGAGAAGAGAGGCAAGGCAGGGCUUGUGAUUCUCAUCCCCAAGACCCUGCCACUUGCCUACUCGCUCGGGCAAUGAGGGCGGGCACUGCUUCCAGAGUUAAACUGCACUGGACCCAGAUCUAUGUGUCCAUAAGUCAGAGCAAGUUUGUCAGAAGCUGUCAGGGAGUAAGGCUGAGUAGACGGAUGGAGUCAGACUCAUUUAAAAAUGGAAUACCAGCAGAUAGGUUUAAAAAUGGAAUGCGGCCGGCUAGAGUGAAGGUGGUCCCUAAACCAAACACCUGUCCCUUCUGUGUGUUUUCUGGUUUCUUUCCCCAUUGCUCGAGAAUGCUAGAAGCCAGACUAGUAUUAAGAACUCUAAAUUCCUAGCCUGGCAUGGUGGUUUACACCUGUAAUCCCAGCAACUUGGGAGAUCAAGGCAGGAGGGGAUCACUUGAGCCCAGGAAUUUGAGACCAACCUGGGCAACGUGUUGAAACCCCAUCUCUACAAAAAAUACAAAAAUUAGUCAGGCAUGUGGUGCAUGCCUGUAGUCUCAGCUACUUGGGAGGUUGAGGUGGGAGGAUUGCUUAAGCCCAGGAGGUCGAGGCUGCAGUGAGCCAUGAUCGCGCCACUGCACUCUAGCCUGGGUGACAGAGCGAGACCUUGUCUCAAGACAAACAAACAAACAAACAAACAAAAAACUCUUAAGUUCUAAGUGCCUGGAGCAGGGAGUGUUUCUGAGGCCUCAUGUUUACCAGGGCACUGUGCUAUGUGCAGGGUAGUGAGGGGGAGAGACACCAUUCCAACAUCUUGGAGCCCAAGUCUAGAGUCAGGGCCACAGAGGCGGGAGAGGAAGAGAAUCCCACUGCAAAUGGGCUGGGCCUCCCUGCCUUUGCCCAUUGAGUGAGCAACAGUGCUGUUUCUAUAGGUCUCUUUGAGCCUUAAGCAUGGAAUGUGAUGAGACUGAACAGUGAUAAAAUGUAUUGAUGGAACUUCUGUUCAUUGAAAUGCAAAGGGGAAGAAAGAAUUUAGAAAUGAUCUGAGGUUUCCAGCUUGGGGAGAGAGAAAGUGAGAGGAAGUGGGGGCCUAAGGGGAAUGGAAUGAACAGCCCCGACUUCAGGCUUGUAGACUGCAAUGGGGCAAGGCAGCUACAUGCAAAUGUCCUUCCUGGAGCCUGGAAACAAGGUCAAAGCAGAGAUGGACAAGUAGGAGCGCAGCCUAGAGGAGAUAGGUGAUGCCUGAAGCCAUGAGAAGGGGUGUUAUCUCUGCAGGAAGAAGAAUUGCAACACUCCUCCCAGCUGAGCAAACAGUCUGGGCUGGGAUGUGAGUGGUAUCACACUCUGCACUCACUUCCUCCUUCAGUGGUCAUUUGAGAGUUCACUGGGGCUGACCUACCCCAUUGGUCCUGGAGGACAGAAAGGAAUGGAGAAUAAAGAAGGUCUAAGGUGCAGUUUUUCCCCCUCCUCCAAAGCCAUGAAGGGACCUAUGGAUUUGAAAGCUGUGUGUGGUCACUGUGGACAGAGUGACUCCUACCCCACUGGGGGGCUUUGCCAGCCAAGGCACAAAUCAAGCCUUCUCUUUGCCCUCUGAAGUCAAAGGGAGAAGACCGGGGUUGUCCAUCUUUAUAGGCAGCCUCAGAUGAUCCAACCUAAUAUACGUCAUUAACAAAUUGUGUGAUCUUGAACAAGUCAGUUUAUCUCAUUGUGACUCAAGUGAACAUAAGGGUAUAGAGCAUUUGCCCUGCUGACCUCACUGGAUCAUUGUGAAAUAAUAGCUAAUGAGAUGGUGCAUAGCAGGUGUUUUGUAAACUUAACAGUGAUAGGCAAAGCUUAGUUCCCAUGAGAAUGACUCUCUGACUAUUAUCUAUGGCAUUGGAAUACUGACCUCCCUUCUCUGAGAAAGCUCCAGCGGCAAAAUGCUUCUGAUCUCAAACUUUAGGACCAAUUUUCUGGUUUACAGGGCAGGACGAGCCCCUUCUCUUAAGGAUCAAGGGGAUGAAGGAGAAUUCCCUGCUUUUGGUGGGGGGUUACUUCUGAAAGCCAUGCCCUGCUCCCAUCUGAGGAGGUCACCCAGUCCUAGUUUUGUCUGGAAGCACCCUGCCCAGCCCCAGGGGCCAGCCCCAUCCCAGCCAGGCCUCAGAGAUGUCAGACCUGAAAGGCAGCUGCUGCCUCUCCUUCUGACAGGUGUCUCCGCCAGAGCUGGGAGAUGAGGAGAUAGGCGAGCUGAGCACCUUUCCUCCUUGAAUUGAUAACUGCUUUGCAAUGCAGCUCUGUACUUGCUAAAUGAAACCUCCUGCCCCACCAUGAUGGAUUUAUGGCUGAAACAUCUUAUCUCAACUGAGAAUAUUUUAUGAGUGUGCAUGGGUGUGUGUGGGAUAGGAGGAGGGAAAAGGCAGUUUUGCAAACAUUUCUAGAGGUGCUCCAUAAUCUGCCCUACCCUGAAGUAUUAUCUAGAAGCUCUUUCUAGAUCUGCCAGGCUUAAGCAUCUAUAAGUCUUCUCCAGAUGCUAGCACAAUGUAGAUGCCUCAUGAAACAUUUGCUGAUGAUGAUGAUGACGAUGAUGACGAUGAAGGCUGUGGUCUGGAAGGGGACUCUGUUUUUGAUAAGUUUAAUUCAAUCCAGCAAAUAUUGAACAAAUGCUCAUUUUUGUUCAGGGCUAGGAAAGCUACUAUUAUUAUUUUUUUGGUGGGGUGGAGAAAGGGGAGAGUUGGAGAAUAUAAAAAUAAAUGACACAAACUCUUUUCUCUACAUCCUUGGUCUAUACUGAGGGGCCAGGACAUGCACAUUCGGAGUGGAUGUGGAGCAGAAGGGGUUGGAGUGGCAAGAACUAAUGGCCCAGAGUGUAGCUUCAGGAGCUGGACACACCUGGUGGGAUCUUUAGGUAGUUUCUUGUCUUUUGAGCUCCUCAGUUUUCUCCCCUCUAACAGGGGGACAACACUAUUCCCUAGCUCUAAGGUUGGUGUGAAGGUCAUAGGAUUUGCGUAGGGGUUACUUGGUACCAUGUGGGGUCAGCAGCUCAGUAGCAUCACCAACACGAGGAUGAAGAUGAAGGACCGACUCACUGACGAGGGUGGGCUGGAGAUGACUGGGAGCCAGGAACCAUCACAAACUCAGGGCUCUGUGUGCACUGGUUAUCCCAUUCUUUUGCAACCUUGUAAAAUUAAUUUAAUAGGUAGUACAUCCAAGUGGUUUAAAAAGCAAAAGGUAUAAAGAAAUAUGCAGUGAAGAUGAAAAUUGCUCUCAGUUCUGACCCCUCACUAUUGUGCUCCUCCUUCUCAGAGGCAGCUGUUGUCAUUGGUUUCUGGGGCAUUCUUUCCAAGGGCGUUGUACACCCAGCAUCUAAUGAUGCUACCUCUUCUUCCUCUUUCUUGUUUUAACCCAAAAGGAGGAAUUGGGAGUUGAUGAUAGCCAUAGAGUGGAAGGCAGCAGCUGGAGGGAGGAAGCUGGAUGUAUCUGAGCAUCUACUACGUGCCAGGCCCAGAUGAAAUCUUAUCAGUUCUAGCGAAAUUUGGAGAAAGAUUCACUGUCUUAGAAUUUGAAAACAUCAGUGCUGGAGGGGAAGGUGGAAGCCAUCUGGCUAAUCUUCAUUUACUGAUAUGGAAGUGACUAGUCCAAAGUCCCAGAGCUUUCUGAUUUUUGCUUCUUCUUGCUAGGAAAGCAAUUAUCCUAUAAUAAUCCUUCUUUACAGGUAAAAAUAUUUUAUGGUGCACCUGCCUCCCUUGCCAGUGGAAUGACAGUCUCCAUAGACCUGUGGGCCAUCUGGGCCCUGGGCCAGCCUCCUUGUCUCACACUAGCUUGUUGGGGACCUGCCCUUGCUGGCACCCAUCAUUCCAGCUCCCUCCUGUUGUAACUCCUGCCCCAAAUCCCAGGACUUGUCGCUGCCAGCUUUUUCCCCUGUUGUUCCUUGUCUUCCCACCCUUCUCAGGACUCAGGUCACCAGGAUAGGUGGACAUCCAAUUCCUGCUGGAGUGCCAGCAGGAGAGAUUUGGGGAACUCUUCCAGGUAAAGGGGGUUUUACCUGCUAAGGGUUGACUUGUGUCUCCCCCACAAAUUCAAAUAGUGAAGUCCUAAACCUGCCAGUACUUCAGAAUGUAAUUAUCUUUGUAGAUAGGGUCUUUAAUGGGGUAAUUAAAUUAAAGUGAGGUCACUAGGGUGGGGCCUAAUCCAAUAUGACUGGUGUCCUUAUAAGAAGAGGAAAUUAGGACACAGACAGGCACAGAGCGAUGACCAUGUGAAGACACAGGGAAGAGAUGGCCACCUACCACCAAGCCAUGGUCACCUACCAUCCAAGCCAUGGUCACCUAUCACCAAGCCACAGUCAUCUACCAUCCAAGCCACCGUCACCUACCAUCCAAGCCAUGGCCACCUACCUGCCAAGCCAUGGCCACCUACCCGCCAAGCCAUGGUCACCUACCCACCAAGUCAUGGUCGCCUACCAUCCAAGGAGCGAGGCCUGGAACAGAUCCUUCCCCAGAGCCCUCAGUAGGAGCCAACCCUGCUGACACCUUGAUCUCAGACUUCAAGCCUCCAGAACUGUGGGACAAUCCUUCACUGUCAUUUAAUCCACCCAGCAUGUGGUCUCUUGUCACAGUUGCAUUAGCCAGUGAACCUACCCGGGCCCUUCUGCAGUCACCUGGCUCAGGAGUGGUUCUGGUCAGGAAGUUCUGAGGCCAGGCAGGAUCGGGACACUCCCUGGAAAGACCCGAGGGAGAUAUUUGGGAAACAAGAGGGCUGGUGUGGCUUCUCAACAUGCCCACCAUAAAUCCUGCGCCAUCCCAGGGCCGAUGGGACCUGCUGUGUGUGCGGUAAACUGAAUGCCAGGAAGCCAGGCUCUGUCGAUCCCUGGUUCUGACUGUUGUGGGAUCUUGAGCAAAUCCCCUCGCCUCUCUGGGUCUCAGUUUCCUGAUUUGUGGGAUGGAGAAAAGGAUUAACUGUCCCACUUACCUUGAGGCUGUGGUGUGGAUUAAAUGAUUAAAAUGCAUAAGUGCAAUUGCAAAAAUAUAGAACCAGCCCAUCAAUCAAUGAGUGUAUAAAGAAACUGUUGUGUAUAUAAUAUAUAUAAUGGAAUACUACUCAGUCAUAAAAAGGAAUGAAUUAAUGGCAUUCGCAGCAACCACGAUGAGAUUGAAGACUACUAUUCUCUUUUUUUGCUUUGUUUUUGAGAUGGAGUCUUCCUCUGUCACCCAGGCUGGAGUGCAGUGGCACGAUCUUGGCUCACUCCAACCUCCGCCUCCCAGGUUCAAGUGAUUUAAGAUUGGAGACUAUUAUUCUAAGUGAAGUAACUCAGGAAUGGAAAAGCAAACAUCAUAUGUUCUCACUCAUAAGUGGAGCUAAGCUGUGAGGAUGUAAAGGCAUAAGAAUGAUACAAUGGACUUUGGGGACUCAGGGGGAAAGGGUGGGAAAAGGGUGAGGGAUAAAAAGCUACAAAUUGGGUUCAGCGUACACUGCUUGGGUGAUGGGUGCACCAAAAUCUCACAAAUCCCCACUAAAGAACUUACUCAUGUAACCAAAUACCACCUGUUCCCCCCAAAUCUAUGGAAAUUAAAAAAAAUUAAAUAAAGUGUGCAAGUGCUGGCGAGGCCCCGAAGGAGCCCCACAUUGGUGAUGGCAACGCAGGUGACAGCACUUUCUCUCCCCAGUGGGGCUGGUGGUGCCCAUUCCUGGCUGCCCCACUCUGAGUCUGAGGAGGAACCAAGGCUUUCCUGGAAAUGCAGGGGCUGCCAUCGGCCUGUGGGCUUAGGGUCCCAAACAGGGAGAGCCCAUUGUUUGUCAUUUCUCCUCAGUAAGCAGAAAGCUCUAAGCCCUGAAGCCUCCGGUAAACGUCAGAACAUUUGGACAUCUGAGUCCAUUGUCUCCAGGUCUCAUAAUUUUCCUACAUUAAAAAUCCAAUAAUGCAUUUUGUGGAAAAUUUAGAAAGUACAGAUAAACAAGAGAAUAAAAAACAUGAAUUUUACCACUGUCAAAGCUGAAGGUCUAUCCUUCUAGCCUCUUCUUUAAAUGUGUGUAUUUUCAGAAAAAUGAAACCCUGUUGCACAUAAUACUUUAUAAGUUUUUUUUUUUUGACAAGGUCUCAUUCUGUUGUCCAGGCUAGAAUACAGUGUUAUGAUCAUAGCUCACGGCAGCUUCAAACUCCUGGCCUCAAGUGAUCCCACCUCAGCCUCCCAAAUUGCUGGGAUUCCAGGUAUGAGCCACUGCACCCAGCCUAUAGCUUCUUUUUUUUCAUUUUUUUAUUUUUUGAGACAGAGUCUCACUCUGUCUCGCCCAGGCUGGAGUGCAGUGGCAUGAUCUCGGCUCACUGCAGCCUCCCCUUCCCAGGUUCAAGUGAUUCUCCUGUCUCAGCCUCCCGAGUAGCUGGGACUACAGGCGUGUGCCACCACACCCGGCUAAUUUUGUAUUUUUAGUAGAGAUGAGGUUUCACCAUGUUGGCCAGGCUUGUCUUGAACUCCUGACCUCAAGUGAUCCGCGUGCCUCAGCCUCCCAAGGUGCUUGGAUUACAAGCAUGAGCCACUGCGCCUGGCCCCUAUAACCUAUUUUUAAGUCAAUGAUGUAUCACAAACAUUUUCCCAUGUUGACCUUCAUCCCCACCACCACUUUUUAGUUAGGAAUAACCAAAAAUUUCAGAUGAACAGUUCUAGAGACCACUAAAUGUGAGGAAUAGAAGGGUCCUGAACACGGCUUCUCCUCUCUGCCCAGCGUUACUUCUCAGGUGUGUGUCUCACCGGGGGCAGGUAAAGUUCUGGGAGAAUCCUGAAUUUACGGUCAGAUAGGCUAGGAGUCCAACUUCAGCUCUGCCAUUGACAAGCUGUAAGUGGGAAGGGAAAGGGCUGGGGCAAACUGCUUCUCUUUCCCAGCCCCCACCAAGGAUUAAUGGCUUAUUGUAAGUAAAAGAAUUUUCUAGCCCUGGCACAGUGGCUCGCGCCCGUAAUGACAAUGCUUUGGGAGGCUAAGGCGGGAGGAUUCCUUGUAACCAGGGCUUUGAGACUAGCCUGGGUAAUGUAGUAAGAACCUAUCUCUAUUAAAAAAAACAUUAGCUGGGUGUGGUGGUGCACGCCUCUAAGUCCCACCUACUUGGGAGGCUUAGGUGGGAGGAUCGUUUGAGCCCAGGAGUUUGAGGCUGCAGUGAGCUAUGAUUGUGCCACUGCAAUUCAGCCUGGGUGACAAAGAGAGACCCUGUUUCUAAAAAUAAAUAAAUAAAUAAAUAAUAAAAAGAGCUUCGUAAACUGGCAGCUACAAUUAAUACAAGCUCAUGGAUGAACAAAGGACAUUUUGUUGGUUUUGCAAGGGAAAAAAAUCCUAUUUCUGGAGGGUCACGAGGCACCAUGAAUGAAUGAGAGUUGGGCCUGUAGGGAGGAGGAGAAUUUGAAAGAAAGAAACAUCAUAUUUGAGUUUGGAGAAAGAAUUUGGAUUCUGAGAACAGAUUCCUUGGUAGAUGAAGGAGUGAGUAAGCUCAGUUUGGAGGAAGGGAAGAAAAAGGUUGAUUUUAAGGAAGCCAGUAACAAACAGUAAUAGUGAUGAGGAGGAUGAGAGCUCACUCACAGGGUUUAUUUACCAUGUAUCGGACACUGUUCUAAGCACUUCAAAAAUAUGAACUUGCUGGUCCACAAAACAAUCCUACAAAGCAAAUACAAUUUUUUUUAUUCCAUUUAUUCCAAUUGUUUCCAAUUAUUUCCAAUUUAUUCCAAUUAUUUCCAUUUUUUUAUUUUUUAAAAUUAAUUACUUUUUCUAGGGAUAGGGCCUUGCAUCACUCCCUGGGCUGGAGUGUAGUGGUAUGAUCAUAGCUCACUCCAGCCUCCAAGUCCUGAGCUCAGGCGAUCCUCCUGCCCCAGUCUCCUAAGUAGCUGGGACCACAGGGUUGUGCCACCACACCUGGAUAAUAUUUUAUUUUUUGUAGAGACCAGGUCUUGUUAUGUUGCCCAGGCUGGUCUUGAACUCCUGAUCUCAAUUGAUCCUGCCACCCUGGCCUCCUAAAGUAUUGGGAUAGUAUGAGUGUGAGUCACUGUGCCCAGUCUAUCCCUUUUUUUUUUUUAGAUGAGAACACCGAGGCACAGAAAGAUGAAGGAAUUUGUUAAGUGGAGCAGCCAGGGUCUGAGCCCAGGGCCGUGCGUUCCCCUGGACUGUACACAUACCACACACACCUGGACCAGGGAGGCAGGGCCGGAGAGUGAGAACCCCCUAGACAGAUUGAAUUUGAAGAUGUGAAUGUUGCAUCUAUUUGUUGUUGCCUAUUUGGAGACAAUGGGUGGGGAGUAGUUUCUUUCUUUGCUUCCCUGGCACUCAGCGAGAGCCUUCAGAAGGCAUUUGGAUUUGUGACAACUUGGGAAGUGCAGGGGUGAGGAGUUGGGAAGAGAUGAUGGUGUCCUGGCCAUUCUUUUUCCAGAGCUCCAGGGUGGUGGCCUGAGGGAGGGAGCUGUCUGCUUCCCUUGAGGCCGAUGACCUGUGCCAUUCUUGACCAUCCCCUCACCAAGAGGAACUGAGACUGGUGAGAACUGCCCCCAUGGCUUGAGAUGGAUCCUGGGACCCAAAGUGGGGCCCUAUGGUGGGUGUGGGCUGUGGUCGGUGUCUCUCGGUUCACACAAGAAUCACACACAGCUUCCCCUUCCCCUCCUUCCUCUUCAGUCUUCCCUCUUCCCUCCCAUCCACUCUUUCUCCCCAGUGUGGCCUGGUGGAGGCGGUGAUAGAGGGAGUGGGCAAAGGAAGGAGAGAGUCUGAUGCUACUUUCUGGGAGUGGGUGAUGAGGGACCCCCGUGGGUUACCCUUAGGUCCUAGAGAAGUUUGGGGGAAAAUUUUGUGUUCCUUUUGUCCGUGUGGGGAAGAAAUAGGAGAACCAGUAUCAUGGGGCCUGCCCUGCCUGCUGCUGUCAAAACCUGCUGACAAGUAGACGACCUGCUCCUGCUGUUACGGUCAGGGUCCUGAGACUAUCCCUGGACCCUGAGAACCCAUGGAGAAACCUAAAUCAGAUGCUAGUCUCCUCCAGUCCACUCUGCCCGGCUUGGGGCUGGCUGGCUGUGGAUAACUGGGAAAGCAGCCACAAAACAGGAGGUUCUGGAAGCUUCCUGAUGGGCUGGCUGGAGGGAGACCUGAGUGUGGCAAAGGUAGCAGAGGGGUCGAGGGGUUGGCAGGGUGCAUUGCUGAUUUAAUCAAAAAUGUGCUGGGUGCCGAGGACUGACGUCACCACAUCACACUCCAGUCCCCACACCCCACUGGCUCAAGGUGCCAUACAGCAGGUGAAUGGACAAAUGGUCAUCCCAUCAGCCAAGUACCCAGCCAGAGGUCCUGGGAGGGCGCUGGAGGCACUGGAGGAAGUUGAAUGGGCUCCGCACAGAGGGAUCCUUACUGACAGGCAAUUACUAUGCAGACAACUCUGUCUCUUCCCCACAGAUGGUCCUUUUUCUUGGGUGUGGGUGUACACAUACACACACACUCACACACAUACACACACACAAAACUCACAUACUUUGUGGUUUGACGUAUAUCUCUUUUUAAAAAUUAGUGAGUAAUAUAUGGAAUCUAAAAAAGUUGAACUCAUACAGUUGGGAGUAGAAUGGUGUUUACCAGAGGCCUGGGAGUGUGGGUCGGGGGGAGAGAUGGUUGGGGAAAGGGGAUGUUGGCAAAUGGGGGCAGAGUUUCAGUGACGUAGGAAGAAUAUGUCCUGGUGAUCUGUUGCAGAGUAAAGUGACUGUAGCUAAUAAUAAUGUAUUGUACAUUUCAAAAUAGCUAAAAGAAUUUUACAUGUGCUAACCACAGAGAAAUUAUAAAUAUUUGAGGUGAUGGAUAUGCUAAGUACCCUAAUUUGAUCAUUCCACAAUGAAUACAUGUAUUGAAACAACACACUCUACCCCAUAAAUAUAUACAGUAAAAUUAUUAUUUGUCAAUUACAAAUAAAACUUUUAAAAAAGAAAAAUAUUAGUUGGGAAAAUUUUAAACAUACACAAAACUAGAGGGAAGAGCUUAGUGACUCUCCUUGUGCCGUACCCAUCUCCCAGCGUCUACAGUGAUCAGCAUUUUGCCGAUUUUGUUUCAUCCGUCUCCGCAGUAUAUUCUAACAACCAGCCACAAUUCUCUGCGUUUCAUCAGUGCUUUAAGAAUGCCUCUCUCUCUCCAUCCUUACAGCAAUACUGGUGGGUCAAGCAGAGUAGUUAUUAUUAUCGUCAUUUUUUGAAGAGAAGACCAAGUCUCUGAGGUUCAGGAACUCUUUCAGGGUCACACAGCACCUAGAGUCUCUGAUGCCUAAUCUGACCCUGUCAUUGGCUCAUUUCUUUCUCUAUCUCUCUUUUUUUUUUUUUUUUUUGAGAUGGAGUCUCGCUCUGUCACCCAGGCUGGAGUGCAGUGGUGCGUUCUCGGCUCACUGCAACCUCCACCUCCCUGAUUCAAGCAAUUCUCCUUCCUCAGCCUCCUGAGCAGCUGGGAUUACAGGCGCCCAUCACCACACCCAGCUAGAUUUUGUAUUUUUAGUAGAGACGGGGUUUCAUCAUGUUGGCCAGGCUGGUCUCGAACUCCUGACCUCAGGUGAUCCACCCGCCUUGGCUUCUCAAAUUUUGGGAUUACAGGCAUGAGCCACUGCUCCCGGCAUCACUGGCUCAUUUCAACUGCAUUUUUGGAUGCAGGCAGGGUGUGUGUGUGUGUGUGUGUGUGUGUGUGUGUAUGUAGGGGGAGCACCUCAGCUGGGGGUCCCUGGAACUCUCAGCCUUCCUUUUGUCCCUUUGCUAGUUGCCCUGCUGGUUGGAGGGGCCGGGGGCAGAAGCAGGCAAAUGAAUCUCUCCUAAGUUUUUCAUUGAUGGCUUCCUUGAAUUGUGGCUGCAGGAUGUUUAUAAAACUCUGAAUCAAUUUGAGGUGCAGAGAUUUUCAAUCAGGGAAGCAGAUUGCACUGAUAGGGUCAAAAGGCCUGUCGCCAGCGAGGAUCACAGCAUCUGACAUAUUAAUUUGAGCUGUCAGAAUCGAUAUGUGUAACGGAGACGUGGAGGCACAGGCGCUGUUUCUGAAAAGGAGUGGGAAAAGAAAAAUAAGGGGGGUGGGAUCCCACCCUACUAGGGACUAACCUUUUGCAGAUCCUGUAGAAGCAAUCCCGCCAGCGUGGGGCCAGUGUGCCCGUGGUUCCUGGGGAGGCGGGAGGGGGUGAGAGGACUGGAGCCUUCUCUGUGGGGAUGCUGGUCACGGCACAGCAUCCCCGCAGAGACAGUGGCCCUGUCACCUCCCCCAUCCCCGCCACAAGUAAACUUUACCUGGCUUUUCACAAACACCCACUCUCUGUCUCUUUCCUUGCCCCAUUUGAGUUUCAAAGCCCUCUGUCUGUCAAAGAAGGCAGAUCUGAGCCCUGGCAGGAAGUGCAUUUGUUACUGAGAACCCUUUGGUAUUUUGCAUAUGAAACGUCGACACUGGAGUCAGGCUUCUGGGAGGAAGUCACCGUGGAGUCCUCCUCACCCAGGGGAGCACAGGACACAUGGGGUCUGUGUGGGUGCUGGGGGCACAGAAGGAACAUGGUGCUCCUAGGAGCUGCCCAUCUUGUGGGUUCAACAUGGAAAAGAGUGUGAGCCCGGGAAGGCCCAGUCGUACCCAUGCUUCUUAUACCGAGGAAUCGUGACAACAUGUGAACACACGUCACAUCGUGGCCAAGACACAGCAGAGGCUCCCGGGAUGUUGGUUGCAUUCCUGGGAGCCCCUGGGUGCCCCUGGGUCCUGAUUGUGUUGGUGAUCUCUCAUGUAAAGAAAAUUUUUUUUCCACACAAUGGAAUAAAAUUAUGCUUAUAAAAUUAGGCACAGGGUUAGCAUUUAUGGAGAUAGAACCAUCCAAGGUGAGCCAUGUCCUUAUAGUCACAUUUGAGCAAAUGGAGACAGAAAUCUGAAUACUUUGCAAACUGCCAAGGUCCCACAGUGUAUUAGUCUGUUCUCAUGCUGCUAAUUAAGACAUACCUGAGACUGAUUAACUUAUAAAUGGAAAGAAGUUUAAUGGACUCACAGCUCCACAUGGCUGGGAGGCCUCACAAUCAUGGCAGAAGGUGAAUUAGGAGCAAAGGGAGGUCUUACAUGGCAGCAGGCAAGAGAGCGUGUGCAAAUGAGCUCCUCUUUAUAAAACCAUCAGAUCUCGUGCGACUUGUUCACUAUCACGAGAACAGCACCGGAAAGACGUGACCCCAUGAUUCAAUUACCUUGCACCGGGUCCCUCCCACGACACAUGGGAAUUAUGUGAGCUACAACUCAAAAUGAGAUUUGGGUGGGGACAUAGCCAAACCAUAUCACACAGAGGUGGGAGGGGGUUCAGACUCUUGUUAGGCGAGAUUCCUGCCUUGCUUCAUCUCUGUAGUGCCUGGGCCUUGCACAUGGAGGAUGGAGGGUUUUCUGGGCAGUGGCAUGGAAGGGCCUCCCUUGGGGACACAGAACCUAACCUCUUAUCUCUGUUUCCAGGCUGGUCUCCGUCUUACCAUCUGCCCUGCAUUACUUUUCCAGGGCUUCCUGUGUGAUGACCACGUCUUCUUCCUGCCAGACACUCUCUGCCCCAUCUUAAAACUGGUUUAGAACCUUGUUUUAAUGAUUCAAGCUUUUUCCCUUUCCAAACAUUUUGUUAUGUGCAAGGAAUGCAGAUUGUUAAAGGAAAUAGCUUCUGAAAAAAAAUCUCGCCUGAGUUGUGUGGAAGAACUAUGGAUGCCCUUGCUUUGAGCAGAGACUUGCAAUUUUGAAGAGAAAGUAAAUAGGGAGGUGUUGGGGGAGGUGGUCCUCAGCCCCCAGCUUCUCCCUGUCCCAUCUCUGGGUGCGGGAUCUGUCUCGCUGGCUGGAGGAGGUCUGAGCAGUGAUGUGGCGACUGCUGCUUUGUCUCCUCUGGCAGCUUCCUGAUCUAUUAUAAAGGACAGCUUUUCAACCACUUUCUCUCUUUGGGUGGAAAAAGAUGGGUGAGAUUUACAAGAACAGUUAUAUAUAUUUUUUCCUGAUCAUUAUUCUCCUCCACCUGCCACACGCAGGUCAAAAUAAAUCAUGGAGAGAGGGAUGGAUGGAGAGAGAGAGAAAAGGGUAGGAAGGGAGAAAGGGGUGAGAGAGAGAGAUUUGCAGGAAUACUCAUUGGGGUAAUAGCUAAAGCAUGAGAGACUUCGACUUCUUCUUAUUCUUCCUUUUUUUUUAAGAGAGAGAGAGAGACAGGGUCUUACUACUCUGUCACUCAGGUUGGAGUGCAGUGGUAUGAUCAUAGCUCACUGCAGUCUCAAACUCCUGGGCCCAAGCAAUUCUCCCAUCUCAGCCUCCCAACUAGCUGGGACUACAGGUGUGAGCUACGAUGCCCAGCUAUCUACUUUAUUUUUUGUAGAAACAGUGUCUUGCUAUGUUCCCCAGGCUGGUCUCAAAUUCUUGGUCCCAAGGGAUCCUCCCACCUCAGCCUCCCAAAGUGUUGGGAUUACAGGUGUGAGCCACUGCACCUGGCUAAGAGUUUUCUUCUUGGUGAUGAAAAUUUUCUGAAAUCGCCUGUGUGUUUGUUUGUUUUUUUUUUUUUGAGAUGGAGUUUUGCUCUUGUUGCCCAGGCUGGAGUGCAAUGGCAUGAUCUUGGCUGACUGCAACUUCUACCUCCCAGGUUCAAGUGACUCUUCUGCCUCAACCUCCCGAGUAGCUGGGAUUACAGGCGCAUGCCACCACAUCUGGCUAAUUUUUGUAUUUUUAGUAGAGACGGGGGUUUCAGCCAUGUUGGCCAGACUGGUCUUGAACUCCUGACCUCAGGUGAUCUGCCUGCCUCAGCCUCCCAAAGUGCUGGGAUUAGAGGCAUGAGCCACCAUGCCCGGCCUAAAAUUGCCUGUUCUAAUGGUCGCACAUAUCUGUAAAUAUAUACUUUAAAUGGGUGAAUUGGUGUGGUAUAUGACUUAUAUCUCAAUAAAGCUGGCAAAGAAAAAAGGAUACAUCUGCACCAGGGCCUGGCCUUGGACUUGAACUUGGAAGGGUGUGAGUGCUCAAUCUCCACCAGCCUCCGUCCCUGGAAUGGGGUCGCCUACAGAAUCUAGAAGGCACCAAAGAGGCUUGUAAAGGAUCUCCAUCUCUGAACCAAACCCAGCACCUAACAAGUGGAGGGGCCUAAAGUUAAGUUGGCUCUGUGCUGAGAUGUCUGUGGGACGUUGCUGCUGAGAGGUAUAUUAGCAAUUGCAAGGUCCAAACCCUCAUUUCUCAGAUGCAAACUGAGGCCCAGAAAGGGGAAUGACUGGUCCACAGUCACAGCUAGUUGGAGUCACAUCUGGGUCCAGAAACCCAUCUUCUGAUGCUCAUGUCCUUCCUUUCCUUCUACAAGGAGGACUAAGAUACGUGCUGGGGACUUAUAAGUUAAUAGCCAGUCCUUAUGGAGUGUGCAACAUGGUGGGGGCCAAUGAGGGGUGGCUGGUCAUCACAUCACAGUUUGAGGAGUUUUGAAAGGGAGAGUGGAGAGGGGGUAGACAGACCUUGGGCAGACCUUGGGGUUGGGGUGGGGGUGCACAGCAUGCCAGGGAGGUUGGUUGUGUGUGUGUGGUUUUUGGGGGUGGGGGGGCAAGGAAGGCUCCCCAGAGGAAAGGACUUUUCAUCUGUGAUCUGACUGUGGACUACCAAAUCAGGUAAAAAGCUUGAGGCCAGGGGUGGCAGGGAGAGAGUGCCCCUCCUUGGCAGAGGGUCCAGGGGAGGGGUAAGUUGGGAGAUUCGCAGCACUCAGAAGAUGUUUUGCUUGGCUGAGGAAGACUCCAUUUGGGGAAUGAGCAGAAAAUGUGGAGCACUGAAAGGGAAGAGGUCUGUUUUAGAUACUGCAUGACCUUCUACACCUCUGUAAGGUGUUUGGACUUGAUCUUGAACUUAAUGGAGAGACUUUGAUGGGUUUUCUGCAUGUUUUUCUAACAUCUAGAUGCUAAGGGAACUCUCCUCUGGUCCACUGGCCAGGAAGCCCUUGGGUCAGCUUUGUAACAGCUGUUUUUAUUGAGCAUUUACUGAGUGUCUGGCUCUGGUCUAAAGUGAGUAUUUAACAUAGAGGAGCUCAUUUAAUCUCCAUUACAACCCUAUAAAGCAUCUACCAUUAUUACUCACAUUUUACAGAUGUUAAUAGCUAACAGUUUUUCACUAACUAUGUGCCAGGUAUUGUGUUAAGGACUUUACGGAUAUCAACUAACUUAUGCCUCAUAAAAACCCUGUAGAGCAGGCACUAUUAUUAUCUUCCUGUUAUAAACUAGGAGACUGAGGCACAAGGAAGAUAAAAAGCUCACCCAAAGUCACACUGGCCAUUCGCAGAGCUGGGAUUCACACCCAGCAGAUUUGACUCCAGAGCCACUCCAAACCCCUGCACCAAUGGCUGGGG